RNAcentral lists this ribosomal RNA (256 nucleotides) under uncultured bacterium. Its description in RNAcentral is "partial 16S ribosomal RNA". It matches the Rfam family "Bacterial small subunit ribosomal RNA", at positions 793 to 1055 of the family's 1533-position model. The record is from RNAcentral.
GUCCACGCCGUAAACGAUGGAUACUAGCUGUUGGAAGCAAUUUCAGUGGCUAAGCGAAAGUGAUAAGUAUCCCACCUGGGGAGUACGUUCGCAAGAAUGAAACUCAAAGGAAUUGACGGGGGCCCCGCACAAGCGGUGGAGCAUGUGGUUUAAUUCGAUGAUACGCGAGGAACCUUACCAAGGCUUAAAUGUAGAUUGACCGGUUUGGAAACAGACUUUUCGCAAGACAAUUUACAAGGUGCUGCAUGGUUGUCGU